CCAAAGGCUCUUUUCAGAGCCACCCAAUGAUCUCAACAGAAGUAG
This is a non-coding RNA of Equus caballus (horse), 45 nucleotides long. Lineage: Eukaryota; Metazoa; Chordata; Mammalia; Perissodactyla; Equidae. The record is from Rfam.